AUUGAACGCUGGCGGCAUGCUUUACACAUGCAAGUCGAACGGUAACAGGGUGCUUGCACCGCUGACGAGUGGCGAACGGGUGAGUAAUGCGUCGGAACGUGCCGAGUAGUGGGGGAUAACGCAGCGAAAGUUGUGCUAAUACCGCAUACGUACUGAGGUAGAAAGUGGGGGACCUUCGGGCCUCACGCUAUUCGAGCGGCCGACGUCUGAUUAGCUAGUAGGUGAGGUGAAGGCUCACCUAGGCGACGAUCAGUGGCGGGUCUGAGAGGAUGGUCCGCCACACUGGGACUGAGACACGGCCCAGACUCCUACGGGAGGCAGCAGUGGGGAAUUUUGGACAAUGGGCGAAAGCCUGAUCCAGCCAUGCCGCGUGUCUGAAGAAGGCCUUCGGGUUGUAAAGGACUUUUGUCAGGGAGGAAAUCCCUAGUGCUAAUAACACUGGGGGAUGACAGUACCUGAAGAAUAAGCACCGGCUAACUACGUGCCAGCCGCCGCCGUAA
This 500-nucleotide ribosomal RNA is filed under the name uncultured bacterium. RNAcentral describes it as "partial 16S ribosomal RNA". It matches the Rfam family "Bacterial small subunit ribosomal RNA", at positions 30 to 523 of the family's 1533-position model. The record is from RNAcentral.